UUUAGUUGAACUUCAAUCGUGUUCGCGAAUAGACGUGCUUGUUGUGUGCCGCCAGGAAAUUGAUAAAAAUUCCUGGAAAACAGUAGUGUUUUACUUUUAUUUUAUUGUUGAAUUAGUGGCCAUACGGAUUUUCUAUCCGAAGCAGUUUCUUCAGCGAAUCCGGCUCCGGAAAACGCUAGUUCGGACGAAUCUGGCUAAAUUUGUGCAAAACGGCGACAAUGGAUCUGCACGGAAUGUCAUUUAAUUACGAAUAUCUCGAGCAGGAGCAUCCAGAGGAACGCUUAAAUCCAACUUUUAAAACCCAAAAAUCACGAACAGUUGUCAAACCAACAGAAAAAAAUUUCCCAAUCAACAAAGAAAAAAUAGCAAAAAUGAACAACUCCUUUAAAAUUCUAAACCCAUCACAGAAGGAAUCCCAAUUUUUAAGCGCUUCCGUAUUAACCCAACCUACACGAAUACCGAUAAUUUAUAAACCUGGAUCAGCAACAUCUACCCAUGGAGUUGUUCCUAAGCCAACAUUAAAAACGGUGUCCAAAAACCCAGGACCAAUAGGGGUAUCAACCCUUUCUCAUUGCUUGGUCUCUACGCCCGUGGGAGGACCGAUAAUGAACAAACCAGUGUCAGUUACCAGUUCUUCUUAAGGAACUAUGUCCACAUCAAUACCGGAAUUGAAGAUGGGUAAGAAACCAAUCGAAAUCAACGAAGAAACCAUGACUAUACUGUUCGAGAAACUAGAAAUCAUCGAAAAAAAAGUGGAUGUAAGCAAUCAAUUAAAGGUUGCACAAAAAAGAAUCCUUAAUGAUCUAGUCAUGAAGAUAGACCGGCUAACGGAGGAAAUUAACGCGCAAAACAAUCGUGGAAGACGUUGUGCUGUACUACCGCUCAAAGGACAACACGAUUUGGAUAACAUUGAGGAAAACUUCAACGAUCAUGAACCCCAACUGCGUGUAUUGUUUACAGAUUUUAAAAGCUAUUCUAUCAAAACAUUUUUUAAGCAUUUUGUUGAGCAGUUACUCUACAAUACUGACCACUACAACUGGACGGGCGUAAAGGCACAUAACGCACCUGAAGGAAAAAUAAUCAAAAAGGCAUCUGAGUUAAAAAUUUUCAACCUUCUGUUGGAAAUAGGCAUAGAAAAAACGCAUAUAGAAAGAAGAAUGGCCAUUUCUGAAAUGGUCCAUGCCAUCAACGGCUUCAAUGACGCAAAGGCUGCUCGACAAAAGAGAAGAAAACUUGAUUAACAUAUGCGUAUAAAACAAAUGAAUAGACCAAACUCGAAUAUCAAAAAAUCAGCUACACAUCAGAGGAAAAAAUAAUUUGUAAUGAAUCCGAUCUCAUUGGUGUCUCUAAAUAGGUUGCGGAUUGCCUUUUCGCUGAAUAUCAAUGCACCAGCUUGGUAUUACCACAUAAGAUAUGUAUCCCAAUUUAUUCGCCGGUAGGCGAGUAGUGCACGAACUCUUCAUUUUUCAAUUGAAAGAAUUAAUCACGCAUCUGGGAUACAAUUUUGAUGAAGCGGAAGUCAGAAAGUAUGAUAUAAUGUUGUAUAGCUUCCUGUUAUGGAAAGUAUCAGACAGAUGGUUUAUGGAAGCACUCCGAUGCUACGACGCGGAUGUGGACAGCUGCAAAAUCUUUGAACAGAAUUGUUUAUUAGUGCCUUUCAUCGAUUGCGCAAAUUAUCCUGAGGAUUUGUUUCACGGUGAAGAAAAUGCAUCUAGUUAAUUUUUAAUAAACCAUUGAAGAAAAAGUAAAAUCGAAUAUCAGGUUUUGAAUAUGUAGCCAAAGUGGUGAAAAUGUCAACUUCCCGAAAUAUAGUGGUUUAUUCAACCGUUUCCAUCAGUUUUUCGUUCUGGACAAUACAGCCCACAAAAAAACGUAAACAUACAAACCGGAAUGCUUGACGACUCGGCGGGAAUAUAUAUUACAAAAAUAAUCUCGCGGCAAAAUGGUGAGAUCUCUCAUCGUAUCGGUAACAAAAUGAAGAUAUUUUUCAAAUCGAACUCAGAUAUUGGCCGAGAAUAAAUUUUAAUCCCCUGCUAAGUAUGCCGAGAAUUGUCUGCCUCGACUUCAAUGACACGUCAGAGAAUUGCUAAAUCUCACAAGCUAAUGAUUGGGCCCAGAAUACAUAUUGACGGUACGAGCAGUAGGCUUACAGCACACGCAUUAAGUGCAACAUUGUAGCAGCAGAUCUCUAGCGAUGUAUAUUAAAAAAACUGUUCUUCUAGAGGUAUAUAAACGCUUUACAUCGACAUGGUAUGCAUCUUAACGUGGACCAGUAACGAAAACAUCUUUGUGCGGAUUUGAACCAGCGACACUGACCUUAAGAGCAGUAGGCCUGCAUCAAGCAGACCGUCUAUCACUUGGUUGGUUCAAUAAACCAUCUACCACGAGCCACUUUCGUAAGUCGCGCCCGUUCAUCAUUGAAGUCGAGAGCUUCGCCGGAAGUGAAAUACGAGAUAUUGGAACUUCGUAGUACGUCUUUCAUUCUCCACCUUGGUCACGCAAUAUAAUCUCCGUUGCUGUCAUAAUACCAUUGGAAUUUACUGCAAGAGUCUGGCCACAACACAACUAGAUUCUUCAUACAAAGCGAUGCUGAUAACGACUUGACACUGUACUGUAGAAAGCAGUCGGCCGAUUGACCUGUUGGUUGGAAUUGUGGUUCAGCGGAUUCUUAAUUUCUGGUUUGUAUAUCCUCAGUAUAGACACCGCAGCAUCACCUGUCCACCCACAAGGACCUACAAUCUGGAACGAGCACCCGAUACAUCAAGGUCACUUGGUUCUACUCGCUAAAAAGCUGUACGUUAUAAUUAAAAUGUACGACAACCCGUUAUCAAGGCGUCCGCAGUCUAGAAAAUACUUUUUUGUCAAUAAAUAAAAAUAUGCAUUUUAA
Molecule: long non-coding RNA, 2887 nt
Organism: Topomyia yanbarensis
Lineage: Eukaryota; Metazoa; Arthropoda; Insecta; Diptera; Culicidae
Exons: 9
Source: RefSeq, a predicted model, not a curated record